GGGGAUUCUGCCAACUUCCGACCUUCGACGACAUCCUUCCGAACCUCUCUGGCGGUCGAGCCUCCGCAACACUCCCAAGUUUCGCCGACGGAUAAGCCCCCACCAGCGUCGACCAGAUUCUUCACGAUGGACGGACUCCACCCAAGUUUUCACAAUGAUCGACCACCAUCUAGACUGUAUCCGAACUCCUAUGGGAGCCAGGCUCCGUCCCCGAC
RNAcentral lists this long non-coding RNA (215 nucleotides) under Elaeis guineensis (African oil palm). Its description in RNAcentral is "long non-coding RNA (EGUI_LNC049880)". The record is from RNAcentral. Lineage: Eukaryota; Viridiplantae; Streptophyta; Magnoliopsida; Arecales; Arecaceae.